UUACCUUUCUGAUGAACCGCUUAGCCUUCCU
This 31-nucleotide non-coding RNA is filed under the name Mus musculus (house mouse). Lineage: Eukaryota; Metazoa; Chordata; Mammalia; Rodentia; Muridae. The record is from RNAcentral.